RNAcentral lists this ribosomal RNA (443 nucleotides) under uncultured bacterium. RNAcentral's name for it is "partial 16S ribosomal RNA". It matches the Rfam family "Bacterial small subunit ribosomal RNA", at positions 338 to 795 of the family's 1533-position model. The record is from RNAcentral.
CCUACGGGAGGCAGCAGUGGGGAAUAUUGGGCAAUGGGCGCAAGCCUGAUCCAGCAACGCCGCGUGAAGGAAGAAGGCUUUCGGGUUGUAAACUUCUUUUCUCAGGGACGAAGCAAGUGACGGUACCUGAGGAAUAAGCCACGGCUAACUACGUGCCAGCAGCCGCGGUAAUACGUAGGUGGCAAGCGUUAUCCGGAUUUACUGGGUGUAAAGGGGUAGUAGGCGGGGACGCAAGUCAGAUGUGAAAACCACGGGCUCAACCUGUGGACUGCAUUUGAAACUGUGUGUCUUGAGUACUGGAGAGGCAGACGGAAUGCCUAGUGUAGCGGUGAAAUGCGUAGAUAGUAGGAAGAACACCAGUGGCGAAGGCGGUCUGCUGGACAGCAACUGACGCUGAGGCGCGAAAGCGUGGGGAGCAAACAGGAUUAGAUACCCGUGUAGUC